Molecule: ribosomal RNA, 247 nt
Filed under: uncultured Eubacteriales bacterium
Lineage: Bacteria; Bacillati; Bacillota; Clostridia; Eubacteriales
Description: uncultured Clostridiales bacterium partial 16S ribosomal RNA
Rfam family: Bacterial small subunit ribosomal RNA
Source: RNAcentral
CACGCCGUAAACGAUGGAUACUAGGUGUGGGAGGUAUCGACCCCUUCCGUGCCGCAGCUAACGCAAUAAGUAUCCCGCCUGGGGAGUACGAUCGCAAGGUUGAAACUCAAAGGAAUUGACGGGGGCCCGCACAAGCGGUGGAGCAUGUGGUUUAAUUCGAUGCAACGCGAAGAACCUUACCAGGUCUUGACAUCCGUGGAACCUUACUGAAAGGUAGGGGUGCCUUCGGGAGCCACGAGACAGGUGG